GCCUGAAUCAGUGUGUGUGUUAGUGGAAGCGUCUGGAAAGGCGCGCGAUACAGGGUGACAGCCCCGUACACAAAAAUGCACAUACUGUGAGCUCGAUGAGUAGGGCGGGACACGUGGUAUCCUGUCUGAAUAUGGGGGGACCAUCCUCCAAGGCUAAAUACUCCUGACUGACCGAUAGUGAACCAGUACCGUGAGGGAAAGGCGAAAAGAACCCCGGCGAGGGGAGUGAAAAAGAACCUGAAACCGUGUACGUACAAGCAGUGGGAGCCUCUUUAUGGGGUGACUGCGUACCUUUUGUAUAAUGGGUCAGCGACUUAUAUUCUGUAGCAAGGUUAACCGAAUAGGGGAGCCGAAGGGAAACCGAGUCUUAACUGGGCGUUAAGUUGCAGGGUAUAGACCCGAAACCCGGUGAUCUAGCCAUGGGCAGGUUGAAGGUUGGGUAACACUAACUGGAGGACCGAACCGACUAAUGUUGAAAAAUUAGCGGAUGACUUGUGGCUGGGGGUGAAAGGCCAAUCAAACCGGGAGAUAGCUGGUUCUCCCCGAAAGCUAUUUAGGUAGCGCCUCGUGAAUUCAUCUCCGGGGGUAGAGCACUGUUUCGGCAAGGGGGUCAUCCCGACUUACCAACCCGAUGCAAACUGCGAAUACCGGAGAAUGUUAUCACGGGAGACACACGGCGGGUGCUAACGUCCGUCGUGAAGAGGGAAACAACCCAGACCGCCAGCUAAGGUCCCAAAGUCAUGGUUAAGUGGGAAACGAUGUGGGAAGGCCCAGACAGCCAGGAUGUUGGCUUAGAAGCAGCCAUCAUUUAAAGAAAGCGUAAUAGCUCACUGGUCGAGUCGGCCUGCGCGGAAGAUGUAACGGGGCUAAACCAUGCACCGAAGCUGCGGCAGCGACACUAUGUGUUGUUGGGUAGGGGAGCGUUCUGUAAGCCUGUGAAGGUGUACUGUGAGGUAUGCUGGAGGUAUCAGAAGUGCGAAUGCUGACAUAAGUAACGAUAAAGCGGGUGAAAAGCCCGCUCGCCGGAAGACCAAGGGUUCCUGUCCAACGUUAAUCGGGGCAGGGUGAGUCGACCCCUAAGGCGAGGCCGAAAGGCGUAGUCGAUGGGAAACAGGUUAAUAUUCCUGUACUUGGUGUUACUGCGAAGGGGGGACGGAGAAGGCUAUGUUGGCCGGGCGACGGUUGUCCCGGUUUAAGCGUGUAGGCUGGUUUUCCAGGCAAAUCCGGAAAAUCAAGGCUGAGGCGUGAUGACGAGGCACUACGGUGCUGAAGCAACAAAUGCCCUGCUUCCAGGAAAAGCCUCUAAGCAUCAGGUAACAUCAAAUCGUACCCCAAACCGACACAGGUGGUCAGGUAGAGAAUACCAAGGCGCUUGAGAGAACUCGGGUGAAGGAACUAGGCAAAAUGGUGCCGUAACUUCGGGAGAAGGCACGCUGAUAUGUAGGUGAAGCGACUUGCUCGUGGAGCUGAAAUCAGUCGAAGAUACCAGCUGGCUGCAACUGUUUAUUAAAAACACAGCACUGUGCAAACACGAAAGUGGACGUAUACGGUGUGACGCCUGCCCGGUGCCGGAAGGUUAAUUGAUGGGGUCAGCGCAAACGCGAAGCUCUUGAUCGAAGCCCCGGUAAACGGCGGCCGUAACUAUAACGGUCCUAAGGUAGCGAAAUUCCUUGUCGGGUAAGUUCCGACCUGCACGAAUGGCGUAAUGAUGGCCAGGCUGUCUCCACCCGAGACUCAGUGAAAUUGAACUCGCUGUGAAGAUGCAGUGUACCCGCGGCAAGACGGAAAGACCCCGUGAACCUUUACUAUAGCUUGACACUGAACAUUGAGCCUUGAUGUGUAGGAUAGGUGGGAGGCUUUGAAGUGUGGACGCCAGUCUGCAUGGAGCCGGCCUUGAAAUACCACCCUUUAAUGUUUGAUGUUCUAACGUUGGCCCCUGACCGGGGUUGCGGACAGUGUCUGGUGGGUAGUUUGACUGGGGCGGUCUCCUCCUAAAGAGUAACGGAGGAGCACGAAGGUUGGCUAAUCCUGGUCGGACAUCAGGAGGUUAGUGCAAUGGCAUAAGCCAGCUUGACUGCGAGCGUGACGGCGCGAGCAGGUGCGAAAGCAGGUCAUAGUGAUCCGGUGGUUCUGAAUGGAAGGGCCAUCGCUCAACGGAUAAAAGGUACUCCGGGGAUAACAGGCUGAUACCGCCCAAGAGUUCAUAUCGACGGCGGUGUUUGGCACCUCGAUGUCGGCUCAUCACAUCCUGGGGCUGAAGUAGGUCCCAAGGGUAUGGCUGUUCGCCAUUUAAAGUGGUACGCGAGCUGGGUUUAGAACGUCGUGAGACAGUUCGGUCCCUAUCUGCCGUGGGCGCUGGAGAACUGAGGGGGGCUGCUCCUAGUACGAGAGGACCGGAGUGGACGCAUCACUGGUGUUCGGGUUGUCAUGCCAAUGGCACUGCCCGGUAGCUAAAUGCGGAAGAGAUAAGUGCUGAAAGCAUCUAAGCACGAAACUUGCCCCGAGAUGAGUUCUCCCUGACUCCUUGA
This 2528-nucleotide ribosomal RNA is filed under the name Escherichia coli. Its description in RNAcentral is "bacterial LSU rRNA". It matches the Rfam family "Bacterial large subunit ribosomal RNA", at positions 308 to 2826 of the family's 2925-position model. The record is from RNAcentral. Lineage: Bacteria; Pseudomonadati; Pseudomonadota; Gammaproteobacteria; Enterobacterales; Enterobacteriaceae.